Molecule: long non-coding RNA, 541 nt
Organism: Fundulus heteroclitus (mummichog)
Lineage: Eukaryota; Metazoa; Chordata; Actinopteri; Cyprinodontiformes; Fundulidae
Exons: 2
Source: RefSeq, a predicted model, not a curated record
CGGAAAGCUCUAAGACCCUGGACACCUGGCAGCCGAAGGCGGAGAGCUACGUGUAAUUACCGAUCCACAGAUUCACAGAUGCAUGAUGGGACAAACAGACGCACACCACCCGAUUGGCUGGCUGAGGACAAAAGGGACGUAGUGGCUGCUGUUGUGGUGUCUGAUCGCCUUUAAGGAGAGGUAGGAAGCCUCCACCUACGGGUCCCCGGGCUGGGUAGUUCUUCAGAACCUUGUUUUUUGGACCUCCUGGCAGUGAUGGCCCAGAUGAAGCCUCUGGACCAGGAAACAUUGAAUGGAAAGCGAUUCCUGACGCCGGUUCCCCUCACCGUGGUCUCUGGUGCCCUCUGGUGGCCGAAGCAGGGAAGUGCAGCUCAGUCUACAAGCAGGAAAAGGCUCCUUCCUCAUCUCUGCCGGCGCUACAAAGCUGAUAUAUCAGCUUGUAAUUAUCCAGCCAUAACCCCCUCUGAUAUUAAAAUAUAUAGAAAUAAUGAAUUGUCCUUUUUAAACAUUUUUAACAAUAAAAUUCCCCCGUUUGACCAUC